RNAcentral lists this ribosomal RNA (253 nucleotides) under uncultured bacterium. RNAcentral describes it as "partial 16S ribosomal RNA". It matches the Rfam family "Bacterial small subunit ribosomal RNA", at positions 524 to 776 of the family's 1533-position model. The record is from RNAcentral.
UACGGAGGGGGCGAGCGUUAUUCGGAAUUAUUGGGCGUAAAGGGCGCGUAGGCGGCUUGGCAAGUGGAUGGUGAAAUCCCUCGGCUUAACCGAGGAACUGCCAUCCGGACUGCUUUGCUUGAGGCCGGGAGAGGUGAGUGGAAUUCCCAGUGUAGCGGUGAAAUGCGUAGAUAUUGGGAGGAACACCAGUGGCGAAGGCGGCUCACUGGACCGGUUCUGACGCUGAGGCGCGAAAGCGUGGGGAGCAAACGGG